AUGGCGAGGGCCCUCGACGGCUGCUACUCCGCCAAAGACGUCGCCUACAGCUGUGGAUACUGUGGCUAUGCACUGAAUUUGAGCUCCUCCACACGGAACACGGCCAACAUUGGAUCAAAGUACGGGAAGCAGAUCAGGAAAGGUGUCGUCUCAUUCUUCGCGAUCGACGAGAGCCGGUUCACGCAAACCGACGAGGUGAGCUGCACGCCAUACUUCCGCUCGAGUCGUUCCUGGGGCUUCUUCAGAAAGAGAACACGAUUGCUCUGCCGCAAGUGCAGUGGCCAUAUCGGUAACGCUUAUGACGACAAGGACUCUGCCUUGUAUGAUACCUUAGAUGACACACUCGUCAGCAGCAUGUCUAGUCGAAAGAAAUAUGUUAUCAAGAUCAAUGCACUACAGCCCUCAUCCGACGACUCCGGUGUUCCAUUCUCUCAAUGA
RNAcentral lists this ribosomal RNA (438 nucleotides) under Triticum aestivum (bread wheat). RNAcentral's name for it is "partial small subunit ribosomal RNA". Lineage: Eukaryota; Viridiplantae; Streptophyta; Magnoliopsida; Poales; Poaceae. The record is from RNAcentral.